This 497-nucleotide ribosomal RNA is filed under the name uncultured bacterium. Its description in RNAcentral is "partial 16S ribosomal RNA". It matches the Rfam family "Bacterial small subunit ribosomal RNA", at positions 28 to 507 of the family's 1533-position model. The record is from RNAcentral.
GAUGAACGCUGGCGGCGUGCCUAAUACAUGCAAGUCGAGCGAACGGACGAGAAGCUUGCUUCUCUGAUGUUGGCGGCGGACGGGUGAGUAACACGUGGAUAACCUACCUAUAAGACUGGGAUAACUUCGGGAAACCGGAGCUAAUACCGGAUAAUAUUUUGAACCGCAUGGUUCAAAAGUGAAAGACGGUCUUGCUGUCACUUAUAGAUGGAUCCGCGCUGCAUUAGCUAGUUGGUAAGGUAACGGCUUACCAAGGCAACGAUGCAUAGCCGACCUGAGAGGGUGAUCGGCCACACUGGAACUGAGACACGGUCCAGACUCCUACGGGAGGCAGCAGUAGGGAAUCUUCCGCAAUGGGCGAAAGCCUGACGGAGCAACGCCGCGUGAGUGAUGAAGGUCUUCGGAUCGUAAAACUCUGUUAUUAGGGAAGAACAUAUGUGUAAGUAACUGUGCACAUCUUGACGGUACCUAAUCAGAAAGCCACGGCUAACUACGUG